AUGAGGAGAGUCAUGUUAGCAUUGUUCAUCGGUAUAUACUGGUUGGUGACUACAUUAAGAGAAAGUUCCAACCUCAAGCUUUUCCUCGGGCGCGUAGCCUUUGUUUCUGCUUGCAGCAUUUCUCAGGUUUCAAAAUCGUGCUUCGCUCUUUCCACCUGUUCUCUCGCCCUGUCCGCCUGUUCUGAUUGCCGCCGUUCCUCCUAUCCAGCCUUGCGCUUCUCUUUGGCAUCCUUUUCUUCCUCCAAACCGGCCUGUAAUAUGGUAUCUCAAUCUCAUAUAGGUUGCAAUGUUUCUAUUUGA
RNAcentral lists this ribosomal RNA (300 nucleotides) under Triticum aestivum (bread wheat). RNAcentral's name for it is "partial small subunit ribosomal RNA". The record is from RNAcentral. Lineage: Eukaryota; Viridiplantae; Streptophyta; Magnoliopsida; Poales; Poaceae.